CGUGUGUGUUACAUUUUAAUGUUGUUUCGUUGUUCUCCUCUUAUAUUUAAUGCGUUUCUCUCAGUUUUAGUUUGUUACCCCGAUUUUGUUUUUUGUCCAUAGAUUUAUGAGUUUUGAACAGCGGUAUACUACUGUUGCCUUUAUUUAGAAACAAACACAAUAGGCUCGAAAUAGAAGUUAAUCUUAAACUCCCUUAAAGUCCAAUAAUUCUUGGUUAACUCCUUAUGUUGCCUGAAAAUCAUUUAACUACAGUUAAAUAUGAUACGGAUAAAAAAAAAGGAUGCCACAUGUAGAGCAGGAUCUGCUUACCCUUUCGGAGCACCUGAGAUCACCUCCAGUUUUUGGUGGGGUUUGUGUUGCUUAGUCUAGUUUUCUAAGUUAUGUGUUGUGUACUGUUAUUUGAAUGUCUGCUUGUCUUUUUAUUUUUUAGCCAUGGCGUUUUCAGUUUAAUUUUGAACUUUUUUAGAUUUGGUGCAACUGUUUUGAGUUUUCAGUUAACAAUAUUCUUCAACUUGGUUGUUGAUUUCAUCAUCCAACUGUUGAUUCAACGCUUCCUGUGCUCACUGAGUCUUGACGUAUCAUUUUAUAAUUAGAACGCUUUAGGAGGUUUAAAAGCCUUGUUACUUUGAAGAUGUUUUAGAUACCCAUUUAUCAUUGUACAUCGCCGGAUGUGUUUAUACAGUGAACGACAUAAGGGUGUCACAUUUGGAGCAGGAUCUGCUUACCGCACCUCAGAUCAACCCCAGUUUUGGUGGGGUUCGUGUUGCUCAGUCUUUAGUUUUCUAUGUAGUUUUUUUGUAAACUUUUCGUCGGCAUUCGUUUUUUUUUCAAUGGCCUUCUUUGUUCAUCUCUCCUGGUGAUUUUUGAAUGCCCUUUUGGUAUCUUCCGUUUUUGUGUUAGAUAAGUUUGUAUAUGUGUUCGCGUCAACAGUUGCGACACAUCCCCGAAAAAUAUCAGGAAGUUUUAAUUUAAAGAAAAAAGUUUUCAAGGUGUUUAGAUGAAUUACUUCCCUAAGGGAAUACAAGGUAGAAGCAACUUAGAUAAUUACAUGCUGUAUAGAUUUAUGCAAAAUGAAGUCAUAUUUGCAUUGAAAAACAUUAUAUUUUACUUCGAUUUAUGAUUUGAAUCAUGAUCACCACAUUAUCAGGCUGAUGUGCAUUUACUCGGCGAUGGAACUAGUUUUUAACUUUUUUCUUAUGUGCGUCAUUGAAUAGUACAGUUUCGUUUUCCCCCUAAGAAUUGCAUAUGGAACACUUUUUUAAAACUUGUGCAUUUAAAUAGAUUUUUUUGUUUAAUCGAACCUAUAAUAAGCUAUAGAGGAAAGGAAACAGUAAUGCCAUGUGAAAUGUGUGUGUUUAUUUUAUAGUAUACAAUAGAAGAAAUUGGUAUUGAAGAAUUCUUGCAAAAGGAUAUAUAAACUACCUUUUGUUUAUACUUCAUGAUUACGAUUUUAAUUUACAGAUAUUAAUUUAUUUAGGAUAGAAUAUGCAGAAACAUGCCCAUUGUAUAUUGAAAAGUUUUAAAGCGGAAAUAUUAACAAAUUGUAUUCAUUUUGUGUGCAAAACACACAACGGAAAGACAAGAAUAACUUCAUGUUUUUUAUUAUGUUUCAAUUUUUUUAUUGAUAUGCACUGUGAUAUAAGAUAUGGUCACAAAUGUCAUAUUUCUAAUGAUAAUUUUGAUGAGUUUGUUAUAUCAGAUUAAAUAAGUUUUGUUUUAACCUUAGGGUUGUCAUUUAAACGACAUUUUUUAACAUUGCCACAUCAGCGGGAGGUUUGGCUAGCAAUAAAACUAUGUUAAUUUUUUAAAAUGGCCUGAACAUAGUCAGGUAUAUGGCAGUUGUUAUCAAAUAUUGUUACCUUGGUCGCAAUGAAUUACAUUGAUUUCCCAGUGAAAUAAAAACCGAUAAUUUCACAUGUGAAAUAAACGUGGUUAUUUCCCUCUCUGACGUCAUACAACAAUGGGCGUUGUCAAGACGUCGACAACGGCGAAUCAAAACAAAUUGUGAAUGCGUAGAAAAAAAGAUAUAGUUCCUUACAUGUUUUUACUUUAAUUUCUUUAAAAAAGCCAUUUGCCAAUGUAAUAAAAAGAAUAACUAAUUAGAGAAUUCAAAUAUCGAAAAAUAUUCAACUCGUGACCGAAAAACACUGAUAAUUAACUCAUGCGCUACUCGCAUUCGUGAAUUAAUGUGUUGUUCGGUCACUCGUUGAAUAUUUUUCUCUAUUUGAAUUCUUCGAUUAGUUAUUCUAUAA
This 2252-nucleotide long non-coding RNA is filed under the name Mytilus galloprovincialis (Mediterranean mussel). Lineage: Eukaryota; Metazoa; Mollusca; Bivalvia; Mytilida; Mytilidae. The record is from RNAcentral.